AGAUCAUAAAUGCUGGAAUGCUUUAUGAUUGAAAGGUUUCGACCGCCUUAGGAUGGAUCUGCGGCCUAUCAGGUUGUAGUGGGUGUAAUGUACCUACUAGCCUACGACGGGUACGGGUUGUGGAAGCAAGAGCCCGGAGAUGGAUUCUGAGACAUGAAUCCAGGCCCUACGGGGCGCAGCAGGCGCGAAAACUUUACAAUGCGGGAAACCGUGAUAAGGGAACACUGAGUGCUAGCAUUUAUGUUAGCUGUCCACAUGUGUAAAUAGCAUGUGAUAGCAAGGGCUGGGCAAGACCGGUGCCAGCCGCCGCGGUAACACCGGCAGCCCGAGUGGUGAUCACUAUUAUUGGGUCUAAAGGGUCCGUAGCCGGUUUAAUCAGUCUUCUGGGAAAUCUAAUCGCUUAACUAUUAGGCUUCCAGGGGAUACCGUUAGACUUGGGACCGAGAGAGGUAAGAGGUACUGCAGGGGUAGGAGUGAAAUCUUGUAAUCCCUGUGAGACCACCAGUGGCGAAGGCGUCUUACCAAAACGGGUCCGACGGUGAGGGACGAAAGCUGGGGGCACGAACCGGAUUAGAUACCCGGGUAGUCCCAGCUGUAAACGAUGCUCGUUAGGUGUCAGGAACGGUGCGACUGUUUCUGGUGCCGAAGGGAAGCCGUGAAACGAGCCACCUGGGAAGUACGGCCGCAAGGCUGAAAC
Molecule: ribosomal RNA, 697 nt
Filed under: uncultured archaeon
Lineage: Archaea
Description: bacterial SSU rRNA
Rfam family: Archaeal small subunit ribosomal RNA
Source: RNAcentral